This 52-nucleotide non-coding RNA is filed under the name unclassified sequences. RNAcentral describes it as "6A RNA". It matches the Rfam family "6A RNA". From Rfam's summary of the family: Actinobacteria (1 example), Firmicutes, Fusobacteria. The record is from Rfam by way of RNAcentral.
AGACUUGGUCGUAGAGCCACGACCAACUAAAAUUAAAGAACGCUCACCAAGA